UGUUUUUUUUUUUGUUUUUUUUUUAUUCGGCUAAAAUUUAACUUUUUGUUUGCUUUGGAAUUAUUUUCAAACAAAUGAUUUUUUUCUAAAAAAUAUUCAAUUAUUGGAGAUAAUAAUACUAUAUACACAACAUAUAAUUGAAAUAUCAAAUUCGUCGUGAUUUUUAAAAGUUAAAAUUUUAAAUAUUAAAACAUUUGGAUGUAAGAUUUAAAAAGUUGUAGAGUUAAUCGAGAUCUAAGGACUUUAUAUAUAUACAAAAAAGAAAAUUAAAACUAUAUAGAAAAAAGACUUGGUCUAGGUGGAGAGAGGGUUGUAAGGUAGAUUUAGUACUAGAAUAACUAACAAUUUCGAUAAUAUGUGGAGAAGCAAAGUUCAUCCAACCUUAAUGAAGUGGUUUAGUGAAUAGAGAGAAAAGAUUUUGGUAAUGUAAAAAUUGGAAAAUCUCCAUACCAUAAGUUAUUUAUUUAUUUAUUAUAUAAUAAUAAUAAUUGGAGAAAUAUUGAAGAGGUAAGUAACAAAGAGAUGAUUUGAAGGGUUGGGAUAAUGAAUGAAAAGAAAAGGAAGGGGGAAAUGGGAUUCCCUAUAAAAUCUUUAUAGAGACGUAAAAUCAAACAAAAGAAACUGUCCAACUUGUUAGAGGACAAGACCAAAGCAAAAGGAUGAGAAUUGAGAAUUGAGAAUUGAGAAUUGAGAAGAAGCUUUUUUAUUACCAAACCAUAUUAUUGUUUCUUUCUCCCCCUCGGACCCACUCUCUUACCUCUUUCUCUUUUUUUUUAACAUAUUUCUCUUUCUUUCUUUUUACCCAACCAAGCCACACAAAAAUAUAUUUGUAUAAUCAUCUACAUUAUUAUUAUUAUUAUUACCAACAUAAUCAAACCUCUUAUAAAGGUUGAUAGUACAAUUACAGUAUCAAUUCAAUUAUAUUUAUUUUAAAACUUUUGUACUGAUAAUUAGAGUAUCUAUUCAUUGGGUCAUACUCAUUUAACUUAAAAUGUCACCUUAAACUUCAAUAUUAAUUUAUAAAGUGAUACAACAUGAUCAAAUUUUAUUGAUAAAAUGUUUGUCUCAAGAUUAAUGAAUUAUUAAACUUAGAAGUGUAUAGAAAUAUUCGGGUUAACAACAAAAUUAACUCGAUUGGUUAUCCUAACCUAAUUCAAAAAAUUCGAGUUGAACCAAAUUGAAUUGGCAUAUUGAUUUUUUUUUUCUUUUUAUUUAUAGUUUAUUUUAGGUUUAUAUAUAUAUACACACACGCAUAUACAUACACAUAAUCGAGUUGGGACAAGUCAAUUCACCUACGGUUUGAGUUACUUUUAGAUUUAUAUAUAUACACGCACAUAAUAGAGUAAUCUAGGUCAAUCUAGUUAUCGAUUUUUUUAAUAAGAAUUAUAGAGUUAUUGAAUGGUCUCUUUUGGCAUUAAGUUUAGGUGGGCUACCAAAUUUUGAAUAGAAUACAAAAAUUACUACAUUUAUCUUUCCAAAUUAUGUUUGAAGAUACUAAUAAUAGAUUUGUUUUUACCCUUUCUUGCAAAGGACAUUUUCUUCAUCUUUUAGGAGCGUUUUUGUAACUACAAUUUUAACUCGUAGUCAAUCAGUUAGAAAUAAAAGGCAAAUCUAUAUAAUUCUACUUGAUGUUCAUAAACAUAAUCUACAUUAUAUGAGUAGGUAAAUCAAUCAUUUGUGAUUCUGUGAUAUACAGAUUCAUUUCCUAACGAUUCUUUAAUUGAAAUGCUAAUUCUCCAUCGCUCAAAUGAACUGAAUGAAGAAACUUUAUUGAAUGGUGAUAUGAUUAUAAGCUAAGGACACUUUUUCUGGUACCCAUAAUCUCAUCUCGAAAAACAUAAAACCCCUUUUGACCCUCUUGCUAGGGAAAGACUACAAAAUACAUAAACCUUAAACCCUUCUCUUCAACUUGCUCUAUUAUUUUUAAGCUUUCAACAGCUAGCCAGAGUUCACUUUUCCCGACUCUCGCAAGUCUCAAGCCCAUUAACAACCGAGGGGGGCCUAAACACACUAAGUGCUCUAUAAACUCUUUCUCCACUAUAAAAAUGAAAGCCUACAAAUUUGCUUCUUGCGAUGAGACCAAAGUUGCCACAUGACAACAAAUCACGCCUAUCUAUCUUUACCCAAUCAUAACAAAAAUCCUUCAUAUCAAUCACAAAUCUAUCUAUACUCGAAAGUGCCAAUAAAACAAGAAGAUUUUCCAUAACCAAAUGACAUGACUAGAAAUUUUUUUUGUCUAUGUUUUCCUUGGUGGAAUCGUACAUGAAUAUUGUCCAAGCACAAGUCUUUGCUCUAAGGGCAACCUUGUUGACCCCCAAAUGGCCUCCACAUGGAAACAUCAUAAUCAUGGCUAGAAAAGGAGACCAGCCCUUGGGAAGGCUAUAUUCAUCGAGAGGUGAUAAGGUAAAAAUUUGCCACCCACCUGUCUUUCCAGUCUGCUCUAAGGAGUAAACAUUGGACCAAUCCCUCAUUAUCCAAGGAGCUUGGUCAAUAAAAAUUCCCCAAUAAUCACCAACUUUACACCUAAAACCUCUGACAAAGAGAUCUCUACCCCACAAAAUGCUCCUCUAGAUGAAAAGGGUGCUCGCCUAUGGGGCCAUAAGGAAGCCCCAUCCACGAAAUACUUAUCCAUCAAGAUUUUAGUGACAAAGCCAUUAGGCUCUCAAAAAAUAUUCAAGCUGUAAUUAGCUCAAAGGGGUUGGUUGAAAAAAUAACUUAAUUCUAUAUUAGUCAGUUUAUCUUGAAGUGCCCAUAUCUAAUCUAUAUACUUUCAACAAAUUUAAAAAGAAGUAUACGUUGUUAGAAGGCUAAAAGAACUUCAUACUAUUGAUUUGUUUACAACUUAGUCUCUUUUAGCAUCUACUAGAAGGCUAAAAAUUGCAUUCCAAUACUUUCCAUGUAAUUCCAUGCAAACUUACAAACUAAGUGACAUUAGCCACCUCGAGCCUCGCGUCUGGUGGCAUCAUGCAACAACUCGACAUCAACACCAUCUGGUGGAAGUUGAACAUAUCUCACCACUGAUCCCCUGAUGAAACAGUUUCUCACAGAAAGCUGAAGACAGAAUUUGAACUCCAUAAGUUUAAUGACCACCAACAAAAAAUUACAUGUUCAGCUGACAAAAUGUGAAAUAAUUGACUUAACAUCAUGGAAAAACAAGAAUCUAUACCAUUCCUAAAAUAAUCAACAACCAACAUCUGUCUUUCCACUACCAUCUUCAUAAAGUAGUUUGCAAAAAAAUUGUUUCUCUUUUCAGAAUUUAACUAAGAAUUGAGGUGUUUCUUUACAAUAUGGGAAAUCUAUAGCAAGGACAUGGAAAGAGAACAAGAGAAAACAUGAAGAUAACUCAAAUAGAAACCCCGUUACCCUCCCCUUCAAAUCAUCAAAUAAAAACAACAACAACAAUGUCAAUGACUCAAUGGUUAAGACAUCUUUAUUUCUCUAGAGAGAAUCUUCUAAUUAAAUGAAUCAAAGUAACCUUAAUACAAAAGAAGCAGAAAUGAAAAGGGGUGCCUAUGAGAAAUGGUAAACAAAGAAAAACAAAAUCAAAGUUGGCCUCGCCUCAAGUGUAGAAAAUCAAAAUAAUUGAUCAAAUAUAUUGCAUAAAUAUAAACACGUCUGGAUACCAUAUGAGGGUAUUUUUCCUGAUCAACAACCCUGGUGUUUUCCAGUUUGAUGUUGAGAUACUGAUCUACAGAAUGCAGAGUUCCUCUAAUUGCUAGGUCGUUCUUCAACUCAACUGUCACCUCUCUGCCCACCAAAUCCUUGAAGUACGAGAAAAACAACUGACAAACAAAACGCAAAUCAAAUCAAAAUCCACAUACAUAAACCAAAUAUUGAAAAAACCGUGAAGGCCAGGUUAAAGACACGAGAAGAAAAAACAAAAAAAAGAAGCAACAAGCAACAACUUGAGCACCUAAAGUAAGAUAAACAGUAACGAAAACUUAAAAGACAGAAACCAGUAUGUAAAUGGAGUUACCAUUUUCACUAGAGGUUUGAGGUGAUAGCCUUCAGUCUAUCUACGCGUGAAGAUCAACGACUGUUGAAGGUUGAAAUGUCGUCCGAGCUAUCAAUUGGGAAAACACGCCUUUUUGGAUUUAGAGAAUAAAAGAUAAUCUAUAUCUGUACAAUAGAUGAUCUUAGAAAAAACACUUUCAGUUUUAAUGAAUUAUUAUAGCGUUAAAAUAAAUUGUUUGUAAACGAUACAUAUUAUGGCAAAUUAUCAUCGUGUUAAAUGCAUAAAUUUAUUAAUCAUUAUUUACUCCAUCGAAGCAUGCCACCAGUUGAAGUCCAGUGUCUAUAUAUAAAUCUAAUACAUUAUAAUCAAAACCUGCUAAAUUAUCCCCCAAAAAAAAAACACCGAAUUCAUCUGUGAGUGGUUUUGAAUGGACAAAAAUGCAAGACAAUGAAAAUGGGAAAUGCAGUCAAGGUUAGAAAAUAAAUGAAAGAAAGUGCAAGAACAACAAGAAAUACGAGGUAAUCAAACACUAGGCAAGAGUUUAGAGAUCAUACCCAAAACAUUUGAUCUUCACAGUAUUAUGAAAUAUCAAAAUGCCAUAACAAAUAAGGAAUGGGUUUUACAAAAGACGAACCGCUAAAAAAGUGAAUAUAUCAAGAACUAACGGAUCUGAGUAAGAAAUUGAAAGAGAGAUAGUGGUUGUGAAAGAUAGAUAAAGGAGUGUACCUUGAGUGAAAACCGAUGGUUACGGUGGCGCGUUGGCAGAAAUGAAAUCUUUCUGGCGGAAAGAACGGUUUUGUCUUACGAACAGUUUUAGGGUUCUAUGGAGACGCCAACGAUGAGUCGCAAUUCUCGGGUAAUAGAAUGGGCCGAUAUUGGGCCGGUUGGGCCUAUAUUAAAACCUUUACCCAUAGAUGAUUGCGGAAAAUGUUUUUUUAAAAAAAACUUUUUUUAUUUAAUUGACUUUUUUUUUUGCCCCUCCCCAAAUUUUGUCAUUUCAUCGAAUUAAUUUUUUAAUAUUUUUUAUAUCCACGAGUUUCUAGGUCUCGACUAAUUUCAACCAACAUCCCAUUUUGGUGUCAAGGAAACCCCUAGAAAACUUUUUAAUUUGGUUCAUAUAUUUCAAUUUUUACACUUUUAAAUACGAUGUGAUAUUAGAUACUCAUCUUUUGUCUUUAGUGGUAAUAUCUAUUGACUCAUUUAACACAACUACAAUCGAUCAUGUUCAACUUUUUUUUUAUUGCAUUUAGAAAAAAUUUAAAUUUUACUUUGUAGUUAUUUUAACUAAUUAACAAACACUAAUGUGAAUAUUAAGGAAAGAAUAUAAAUUUAAAGUGAUACAAAACUUUGACCUGGAGAGUGAAAUUGUAUCCUUUUGAAACUUGUAUACCAAAUUGAAAUCAAACUCAAAAUUUGUGAACCUCAAACACGAACUAUUAGAAAUUGAAACCUUAAACGUAGAAUGAGCUAUAAUUACAUGUAUCGUUUACUUGAAAUCGAAGACCGAAACACCUAUAAAUUCUUAAAUACAUUAUAUAUAUAUAUAAUGUUUAGGAUUAUAAUUGGCGUGGAAAAGAAAUAGAAAUGGAGUUUGUAAACAGGUGAAGUAGGUAUUGGGUAACUAUACAAUUUCAAUGCUUUGUUUUGUACAUUGGAAAAAUGUAUGGCCCAUGGACCCAUCUCCCACCAUCCCCUAUCCUUCCAUUCACUUCUUUUUCAUCUCACUUUCUUCUCUAUUUUACACUCUUUUUAACCAUAAACUUUGAAACUAAACUAUUCAACAUAAGAGAUAUAUUAUUAAUUAAAGAGAAAGUUACGUGCUCAUUGGAUUCAAUUCAUUAUUCAACAUCUGAUAAUCUUAGUAAUCUCAUGUAUUUCUUCUUUGAUUUCUUUGAUCUGACUACAUCAUCCUUACUUGUCUUAAACUACUUUCAAAACUAAAAUCUAUCUCCACAAAUCAUCACAAAAUCUUUUUCUCCUCGUUCAAAUGUUUCAAGGGACCACCCAACAAAAGACUACUCUAGGUUAAGUAUACUUAAAUUUGAACCUCAUAUGAUUGAGCUACAAAAAGAAAAAUCUAACUUGUUAGUAUGGAUAGUAAAUCUUUCUAACUAUGUUUUCGUAUCCACAUAAUCUCUCCUUUUUAGAUGUGAUCUCGAUUCAUGUAUCUUUUCUAAACUCAUAUGUUACAACCAAGUUUCUUAUUUAGUUUAGAUAACGUUGUUCAGUUUGAUGAUAGGUUUAUAUUUAGUCAUAAACUUUUAUUUAAUAUUGUUAUUUUUCACAAUUUUUUCUAAUGUCUAGUAUUAUGUGUUAGUCAGCUGUCAUACUGAAGUCAUUAAAGAACAUGAAUUUUUCCUCUAAAGAUUAUCCUGGUUCAGUAUUUCAUUUAUGUAAUUGUUGUACUAAAAACAAUCUAUAGACGAAAUAUUUUUCAGUUAAAAAUUUAAAGUUAAAAGUGAAAUAUUUUUUUCAGUUAAAAAUUUAAAGUUAAAAGUUGAUAUGAGCUUUUGAAACACAUAGCAUAAAUUUUGAAAAUAAUUUUGAGAUGUCCACUUAAAUAUAAGUUAAAUGAUUAAAAUAUACUAUCUCAAUACAUCAAUAAGUUAAAUGUUGAAAUUUAUGUACCAAAAAUAAUAUGAUUGUAUUUGAAGAAGAAAACAAAAGUAAAUUUUAGAGGUGCAAUUUUAUGAUAAGAAGAAUAUUAAUGUAGACAUAAGUAAUUUGGAGCAUCUAUUAUAUGAUAUUGUUUAACUUUUUGCAAGUAUUAUUUGGAGAAUAAUAAUCCUCAUGGAUUAAACUUUAUAGGCAUUGGUAGAAGUGACAAAUUGAAUUAUUUUAUUUUAAUUUAGAAACUUUCUAAAUUCAAUGAUUAGCUUUAAUCAAUCUCUUCUUCAAUAUCAUUUUCUUGUUUCCCCCAAUCAUAUCAUUUCCAAAUCAUUUCACCUGCUAAACUCAAUCAUCAUUAUUCUACCCGCCAUGCUUUUGUUUUUGACCCAUUUUUCAAUUUUCAUAAGAAUACAUAAUUUAGGUCGCAUCUACCAAACCAUGAUGAAAAUGAAUGUAAUCGUAAUAAAAUUCUAUUGACAAAUCAAUGAAAACGAGCUUGAAUCGUAAUCGUAAUUUGAUUGUUUUUUAUCGAUCACGUAUACUUAAAGUUAUGAAUUUUGUAAAAUGUAUUGUUAUUAUUACCGUUAUUUCUAUCUUUGAGGGUCAAGCAACAUCGAUACCGAUAACAAUAAUGAUUGUUGUAAUGGUAAUUAUAUCGGAUAGAACGUAAUUAUAAUUUAGGGAGUAAUCGAAUUAAUUAAGCACCACUCUCAACUCAUCACUUCGGAUUGAGUUAUUUCAUUAGAGAUUUGGAUGGGAAACCUAAUGUUUCAUUACAAAUUGUACAACACAAGUAAUCAAACGAGAGUCAAUAAUUUUGUAUUCUCUUGUUCAUCUAUUACGUUUCCACCAAAGUAUGAACGUGACGUAGGUUUUAAGAAAAAAUUGUUAUAUAAGAACAUAUAUCAUAAAAACAAAAUCUUUUAUACUAAUAGCUAAUACAUCAUAUUGACAAGUACAUUAAACUAGUUUUGUAAUUUCAUUAUAAAAUAUCAAUAUAGACUUUUUGAUAGCAAAUUAUAAUCUUCCUUAAAAUUGAAUCUGUUUACAUUGUCAUGAUAGUGUGGGUCUAAAUUUGCAUAGAUUUUGUUUUUGAUUUUAUCAAAAAAAGAGGACUACAUAUAAGUGAAUAUCUAAUUCUUACAUACUAUAUUUGAAUUCCAAACAAAAGAAAAAUAUGUGUGUAAGUUAAUCAGAAAACAAUGUUAUGGAAGGUUUUGUGGGACUAUUGGUAUAGAUUAUAGAUCCAUUUUGUGCCACAAAUUAACUAUAGGGUAUAUCCUAUAUGAUUUGUGUGUAUGAAGUGGGAGAUAAGAAGUCGUUGUCCUAAAAAAUUAUGUUCGUUUUAGAGCUAUCUUUUUUUUAUCCAACCCAAUUUUAUUAUAAAAAAAAGCUAUUUUUUUUAUAAAAAAAAUUUACGUGAAGUUAUUGUAAAAUUUUAGUUUCUUUUGUUAUUAUGGAUAGAAGAAUGACGGUAAAAUGAUGUUUAUAAAUGGAAAACUGUCAGAAAUGACAAAUUUGAUAAAAUAUUGCGACGAUGACAAUGAGCGAUUUCAAAUGGUAUUUUAAAAUUUUAGGUUGAUGUUUGAAUUGUGGUAAAAAGUUGGAGUGGAUUAGAAGGAAUAUAAGGGUGAGAAAAGUAGUUUUAGUGGAAGUGCUUUGGAGACAUACUACCAUGACGGUUGAUUAUUUGAAAUUGUUUGACAUUUACCUUUUGUGUUUCUAUUAUUGGGCAUUAUAUAUUCUAUCUCAAUUCCACACCAUUCAAUAAUUCCUCUAGAUAUUUUUAUUCUCCAACACUGCAUAUAACCUCUAAAAAUUCCCUUCAACCAAAAACAAAAACUAUCCUAAAUGCUUUAUUUGGUCUAGAAACGAAGUAUCGAAUAAAUCGAUUAUUGUGUUUGACAAUGACAAAUCUAUAACUUGUGUCAGAAUCUCAGUACUAAAUUGUUCCCGAUCCUUUAUCAUCACUUAUGUAGACUAGUGUUCGAGCUAGGAAUGAUUGAAAUUAAGUGAAUAUAUACUUUUACUCGGACUCGAAGAAUGAAAUUAGAGAAAGGCAUUACCAAAAACUUGGAGUGUUCUUCAAGAACUCAACUCAAGCAACCAUUUAUAAGAACAAACCUUUCGUAUCUAAAUUAAAUACAUAAAAUGGCUUCGAAUUGAUAGGGAUUAAACACUUGUAAAUCUUUCAAUGUGAGACCAAAGGAAAAGGCUAGUUUUAUGACUUCAUUGUUAUUAUAUUCAAAGUGAUUGACGAGUUAUUGUUCCAACAAACAAAAGUCUCUAAUAGUAAUUUUUUAUAUAUGUAAAAAUUAAUAUAAUUCAACUGACAUAAUUUGUGUUUCGUUAUUGACUUUGAAGUCAUAGAUUCAAUUCCACUCACACUUCCUAUUCCUAUCCUACACGUGUAGAAAAAAUAAAUAGAAGUCAUUCUCAAUGUUCAAAUUUUAAUCUAUUUUUUUUUAAUAAAACUAUCAUUUUCAUUAUUUUUGGAAUUUGACUUUAAAUACAAAAUAUACCCAUGAAAGAUGAAAACCAAAGUCAUAAGAGUUGUGUGAAGACAAAUUAAAAAACAAAAAUCUAUAAACACGUAUGAAAACUAAUCAAACAAAAAAAAACCACAUAGAAUAUAAAUAUACGAGACUAAUUAAUAGUAAGAGUAGAUUGCAUGAACUACUCAUAGAGUAUGGUCGUAACUAUACAUAUUAUACUCUCAAACUUAUGCAUUUUCUUUUGUCAAAGUGAGUUUAGCUCAGCAAUAAUUGACACGAUCUUUCAUUCUAGAGAUUGAAGGUUCGAUUUUUCAUGCUUAGUUAUUGUACUAAAAAAACUUAUACACAACUUUUAAACUUUGAUUCUCAAAUAUAUGAAAUUGUAACAAUGACAUACAUUCGAGAACUCAAUAAUUUUUGUUAUUUAGAGAUCCAAUUCAUGAUUAUAAAAUGAAAGAGUUAAAUUGUAAUAUAAUAGUUUGUAUAAGUGUUGAUGGUGUGAUUACAACAACCCACAUUUGAUAUGGGCAAUUCUUGUCAAUUCUUGCCAUUUGCUCCAAUAAUAAUAAGAAGAAGAAUAACAAUAAUAACAACAUAUGCAACCAAUUGGAUAUCAAGCUUGAAAGGUACAAAAUGGAAGGAGGCAAAGGCAUUGAUUGGCAGGCAAAGCAAACACACACAUGAACACAAAACACAAGUCUUUUUUUCUUUCUUUUUCUCAAUAAAUAAUUAUAAAAAGAAAAACCCUAUUGAAAGAUAAGGCCAUCAUCACCCUUUCUUUCUCAAAAAUUUAUUAAUGAUGAAAAAUAAAUACAAGUGCUUUUUUGGGGGGGCAGAAAUAUGACAUCAUAAAUGUGAGUGAACAGUGAGUUCCAAUGAUAUGAAAAAGAAAAAGAAAGUAAGUGUGUACUGUUUAGCCAUCCCCAUGCAAUUGCUUUCAUCUCAUCUGCUCAUCCCAAAAACUCACUGUUCAUUCAACUCUAUCUCUUUUUAACUUAUUUUAAUUACAAACACAUAAAUAUAUAAGCAAAUAUAUUAAUACCCUUUCCCCCUAUAUUGUCCCUAAACUAGUCCCCUGCCCCUAUCAUUUUGGCCUACCCCACUUCUUCUCCCCAUCACUUUCACUUCCCUAUUUGCUUCCAUAACUACUACCUAGGGUUUAACUUUGUACGUAUAUACAUGUGCUUUUCUUAUACUGUAUGAUAAUUUGUAUCAACUGUGAAUUUUUACACCAUGUGUUUACUGCAUAAUGGAUGUAAUUAAAACUUCUGUGGUUGUGUUGAUAAUUUGGGUCAGUGUAGCUUUAAAAUGUAUAUAUUAUGACCUCUUUCCAAUUAUAGUUUUUGUUAUUAACUUCAUCCAUUAUUUUAACGUGACGUGAUUACUUAGUUAUUUAACGAAAACAUGGCAAGUUGAUUUCAACUUAUUUAAACACUUGAUACUGAAAAUUCAAAUGGUAGGGACAACCACAUCCAUGAAAAAAAUCAUAAAAGUUUAAAAGAAGUACGCGAUGUAACUCACCGACGAAUUUAGUAUAGAUCCACCGUUAACGUAACUUUGAAUGUUAAAAUAAAAUUGUAAAAAAUAACUUUUUGACAAUAGGGGUUGUGGAGUGACGAAUCGAACCUCAAACCUCAAAUUUCAUCACACAAAUUCAUGUAAAUUAAGCACAAACCCUAAGUUUAGGGGGAGGAAUCCUAGUUUGUCACAUAAAUUAUUGGGGGUAUACAUAUAUAUGUGGUGUGGGGUAUGUGUGAGAGGGGGUGAAUAAUGUGAAUAUAUAUAUGUGUAUAUAUUAAUGAAGAGAGGAGUUAAGGGCAGGGUGUCCUAAAAUGAGAAGAGGAAGGGGCACAUAAUGAUGGCAUUUGAAGACAGAAGUCAGGGUCAGGGGAGAAGGCAUGGAGAAGAGGACCCUUGAGAUAAAAAGAAAAGAAAAAGGUUAUACUAUAUACACACAUAUAUAUAAUGUUGUGUGUCAAUAAUAAUGAUAAUAAUGUAAAUUACUGUAUGGUAUUGUGGCAGAGGGAAGAAGGGGGUUAUUUUGUUGUUAUUUCAAAGAGAGGUUAUGUAUAAUAAAACCAAAAGUAAAAUUGGAAAAAAACAAUCACUAAUUCCAUUUUGUUGUGGGUUCCAAGAUUGGGAGACAAAACUCUUUUUUGUGUUCAACCCCUAAUUUCUUUAUAAAAAAUAAAUGUUUCUGUAGAAAUUCUGAAAAGGCUUUGGAAGAGAUGAGAUGUGAAAAAUAAUAUAUAUAUUACAUAUAGUUUAUAUAUAUUAGAAUUCAGAGGGAGGAGAAAAGAGAGAGAGACUCAUUUCCCAAUUACCAUGCACACUCGUGUUGUCUUGAAUGCAUUAAAUUAUUGCCCUUUCAAUUUAAUUCUACCCACAUUAAUUUCUUUGUCUCGAAAAUUCUAAAAAAUAUUAGGUUAAAGUACAAGUUUAGUUGGUUUGAUAAUAUUUCGUUGAAAUUUUUAUUUUUAUUUUAUGUUUGAUAUUCUUUUAUAGUUCAAAUAUGAUUAGAUAAAUAAUCUUGAAAUUAUUAAACUUAUUUUAGUAAUUUACUCAAAACCUAAUCUUUCCUAAUUCUCUUAUUUUAUAUAUUACCAAUAAUCAUGAGUUCAUAACAUUUUAAAGCUCUUAACCUAGGCUAGCUAAGAUAAUUAUACUAAUUACGUUGGUUAAUUAAUUGUGUACUUACUUUAAUAGGUUAGUACACUCACAGGGAAAAGAAAAGCAUGUUAACAAUUUUAAUUCUUCCCUAUAACAACAAUCACAUUUUUAAAUACAUUUCCAUGUUUAAAGAAUAUUGAUAAUACUUCUAGAAGUCUCGCAUAUUUAUUAAGUGUCGUUUUCUUAAUUUACUAAAAAAGUUCGAAAUAUAUUAAUUAAGGUAAAUUUAAUUAUAUAUCAUGAUAAUUUUACAUAUAAUUUUGAUCUUAAAUACAAUAUAUGAGUGUAUUAAAGAGGUAUUUCAAUAUAUCUUCUUCUAAUUUAUUUUAUCACGUAAUUAUUGUUUAAGUUUUCGAACUAGAUAGUAAAUGAUAUCUAUACCAACCAAGCUAUGUUGGGAUUGUAAUAUAAAAUAUUAAAUAUAACACCAACCCACUUGGCUAUACAUAUACAUGAAAACAUUGAACUUUCUAUUAUGAUUUUAACUUCUUUUUUUGUUUUGAUGAGUUGGGUUUAGGUUGGUUUAAUAUAAACUAUCUGAUUGGAUUUGGUUUGCCUUUAUACAACCAGAACAUUAUUAAUGGGAUUUGGGAAAGACAUUAAUUAAUGGUAGAAGCUCUAUACUUUAUUUUAUAUAUAUAUUCAAAAUUGAUUUUUGUCGUUUAUCAAUUAAAUUAGGAAGUAAAUUAUAUGUUAAUAAUUAUAGUGUAAUUAAUCAGUAUCUAUCACUCACUCUCAGAAAAUAGCUGUCAUAUAUAUGUGUGUAUGUGUAUGUGUAUUUAUUUUUGGAGAAAUUCAUUUUAGCAUUGCUGCAAGCAAAAGGUACCCUUGUUCUACGCUUCUGCCACACCCCAACUUUUUCAAACCCUUUUUCUUCACUUCCCUUUACUUUAGCCGACAUCUUAUUUUACUCCCAAAAUUACCCUCUUCUCUCGACUCGAACGUAGUUCAAUCGAUUUAAAAUAACAAUAAAUUUAUUUUAUAUAAAUAGUCAUUGUUUCUUAUGUGUCGUUGAUCAUGAAUUGUAACUUUCUACAAAGUUGAACGUUUAAAUCUUUCAACUACUUCUAGAUUUAUUUCACCGACGUUUAAGUUCUCAUAAAGUAGUUUGUCGUAGAGUCUUUGAUGUCAUUCAAUUUAUAUUUUUCUUAUUUAUAUAUGUAUAUUAAACUUGAUUUACUUUAUAUAAUUAAAGUAAAUAGUCAACCCAUAUAUAUAUUUAUAUAUCAUUUUUUUUAUAUAAUGUUCAAAGUUAAAUUGAUAUUAUUUAUUUUAUAAAAGAAUGUCAUCAGUUAGUUAGAAAAAUAAUAUAAAUUAUUUUAUAACUAAAUUAUAUGCUUUAAACAAAAGUGUAAAUAAUUUAGCAUCAUAAAUCUAAUACUUUUUAAAGAUUUUUUUUAGGUCUCUAUUUUUACAGUUGUCGUCAUACCCCGUCCAAAGCUCCUUCUCUAACCCCUAAUCUAACCCUAAAAGAGGGUACGAGAGUUAACAAACAUUGUCAUACUUGACUGUUUGACUCAUUUAAACGUCUAGUCAAGCUUUCCUCACCUAAGGUGUAUUGUUUUUGGCUCCUAACCUGAUGUCCUUAGUCAAAAUUCUUUCCGCAAGGUCACUUUGACUACAAUGACACACUAACCAUGACACUUAACAAACUUUUAAUGAGAAUUUGCUUGGGAGUUCUUAGGUCUAGAGUAGUUGUGUUGGUCAUAAAUAAUAGUAUAGUUUCAACAUAAAAAUAAUAACAACUUAACCUUAGUGUGUAUAUAUAUAUAUAUGCCACACAAAGCACAUUUUCCUUUUCCUUCCUAAUAUUAACUUGUGUUUGUAAUAAUUUUGUAUCAGUUGAAAGCUACUGUAGGUUGUCAUGUAAUUGAAAAUUUCAACUAUAUAUUUCAAUGUAAUGAAACCAACAAAAAAAAAAAAAAAAAGAGUAAAAGUGAGUGACCAUUUAGAAUAAAAUUGAAUGUGAAAUUAAUGAGUAUGGGAGUUUGGAGAGAGUGGUAGUUAUGAGAUCUUAGUCAAUGUUAGAUUUUGUUCUUAAUUAUCAUAUUUAUUAUAUAUCUCUUUCUUUUUUCAUUGUUUAUUAAAUUUUGUUAAUAUAUAUAGUUUUGUUUUGUUUUGUUUUUAUGCUUGAUAUUGAUUAUAUAUAAUCCUUAAUCAUAAAUAAUUAACAAUUAUUCUCAAUGGUUUUCUCCCUCUCCCUCUCCCUCUGAGCUGUAUAGGCUUAAAUUUUUGUGUUUAAGGUUAAUGCUUUAAAUUGAUGCUUUGAGAGAUUCCCAAACCCUAAACCCUUGGUUUUCUUCUUAUUCUUCUCUUUUUGUAUUUUAUUUGUUUGCUCACAAAAAGCCACACCCAUUUUAUAUCUUUUAGUGGGAAAUAAUUGAACUCAAACAAGUUUUCACAUAUCUAAUAAUAUACCUAUAUUUUAGGUACAGUGUGGUGUAUUGUCAUACCUAAGAAGUAUACUUAAUAAUUAAGAUGUGUAUUAUCGAUCAAUAAAACACAUAAAUUUAAGUUAUGUAAAUAUUUGUAUUGCUAAAAACAUUCUUUUAAGAUAGAGAAGUUCAAAAACUAGAUUCACACAUUUGUCAUACAAAACAUGGACCGAUGAUUAAGGUAUUUCUAUUCUUCUUCUUCUUUUUUUUUUUUUCAAAGUUUGAUUAUGUACACAAAUUGGAAAAGGGGCAACAUUCUUUGUUCCAUUAAACUCUACUACCUUUCUUCGGCUUUAAGUGGAAUUUUAAUUUUAGUAAUGUGUGAUAGGUUUAAAUAUGUUGUAAAUAUAAUAAAAUAAAUUUAUCGUUUAAAAUAAUUUCUUUGUGUUUUUAUUGAUUUUCUAUUAGGAGGGUUAAUUUGAUAUCUUACAUUUCAGACUUUCUUCACCACUAAUAACUUGAUCUAGUGGUUAACAUUAAAAUAGAGAGCAGUGACGAUAAAGUUUAGAAAACCAACCCAAGAAAUUCCCAAAAAAAAAAAAAGAAAAAGGGAAAAUUAAGGAAAUCCAAAGGCAUUGGAAUAAUUGAAAAGAAAGGUGAUGGGCUACAAGAGGUAUAAAAAUAUUAUAGGAUCAUGAAAAGACUUAACAUAAAACCUGAAAGAACUUGUCAAUGUCACUUCGUUACUUCAAAAAAGUUCUUCCCUAUAACAAAAUUUCCCUUUUUUCUUUGAAAAAAAUAUGUAUAAUGCAUGAAAAUCAAUAAUAAAAAAGAGAAGAAGAUUUAGGAAAUUUGAUUGAUUGACAAUUCAAAAAACCCCCUCUCCUUUUUUUGUUGGUCUCAGAAAUCUUUGCAUGUAUAAAGCUAAAACCAGGAGACCAAACAAUGGCCAAUUUAAAAAAUUCAGAAUUUAAAAUAAUGAUCGAUGUGGGAAACAUUAAACACGAUAAUCAAAGCAAAUGCUGGGAUUUGGAUUUGGAUUUGGCUGAUGAGAUAUAUCAGAGAAAUUGAAUAAUCUCUUUUAUGUUUUCUUUUCUCUAAAUUAAACAGAAUGUUCUCUCUCUCUCUCUUGAUUAAUUAAAUUAAUUAAUUUGUUUGUUUAAUUGUUUCUUUUUUAUAAAAAAAUUGGUAUCUCUCUCUAUCUCUCUCUCUCUUUCCCAAUCUCUCAGGGGACAACCAGCAUGUACUCUCUGACUUUGUCUUUUGGCUUUUUUCUUCCAUCUUUAUUUUAGGUUAUUAUCAUUUUCCCCCCUACUUAUUACUACCCAUAUAUUCAUAUAUAGGUUAAUUUCAGUGUUUUAAUAUGUCCAGGUCUUGUUUAUAUUCAUUUCUGAUCCCAUCUUUGAUGUCAAUGAACAUAUAUUAUGAACUAAAAAUAAUGACACGAAAAGAAAUUACAACUUAAUGAAAAUUUUAACCUUGAUGAUAAUAAUAUAUAAUACCUUUUUUUCUUCCUUUUUCUUUUUGGCAGGGGGUAAAAAUUUCCACUUUUUCUCAGUCUCAGCUCUCAGCUUUCUGCUUUCUUUCCAUUGCUUCAAAUGCUAAAUAGUUUUUGGAAACUGAGGUUUGGUUUCUUUGGGGUUUUGUUGGUACUAUUUUUGUGUGUGUUUCUUUGCUUUUGGUAACUUUACACUGUGUAUAUAUUUGAACUUUUUAUUCAAUUUAAUCUGUUGAGUUUCAUUUGUUAACUGUUAGUUUUUUAAAAUUAUGUUGUGAUUUUUUUUAUUAGUCUUUUUUUAAAAAUGAGUUGAUGAAUCAAUCCUGAGUGUAAUUCGUAAAUAAGAUUUUGUAAAACUAUUUUUCAUAAUUACUUAACUCUUAAAUUUAUGUUUAAAUUUAAAAAUUAGAAAACAAAUGAUCAUGAUACGAAGUUCUUAUCUUUUUCUUUUUCUAACUUUCACAGAAUGUAACUUUUUUAGUUUUAAUGUAAAAAGAAAAAAGGUUGUUCUAAUCUUUAUUAUAUUAACCCUUGUUUAUGGAAGCGUUAAAGAAAUUCAAUCAAUCUCACAUCUAGAUUUUGUAAAAUAAAAUUAUGCAAACAAAACAACCUCUAAUUAAUUAAAGGAACACUUUACUAGACACAAAUGUAAAAAAUUGAACCAUACACAUGAAAUUGAAACAAGAAUAUAAUUUUGAAAAGAAAAUAAAUAGUAUUCUCUAACCUCUAAAUUUCAUUUUAUUUAACAUGAAACAAAGUUAAGUAAAUUAAAUGAUUAUUGAUUGAUAACUUAUUACAAUAGGUUUAUCAACAUGAGCUCAACCCGAUUGACAGGAAGAUGAAAUUGUUGUGUUUAAAAGAGACACAACUCAAAGCUUAAACAACCCCAUACCAAAACUUAAUUGUGCAUCAAAACAUCACAUCUCUAUCUCUAUCUUUCUCUCCUCAUUCUUUCUCUUUCUCUCACUUCUUAUCAAUAUAUUACACUGUACUCCCCAAAGUACACAAAAGCCUAACACUCAAAAAGCAUAAAGAAAAAUAAAACCUUUCAACCCUUUUUUCCAUUUUGCAAUUCCCUUAAUCCAAACCAUGACGGACCCAAAUUACUCCUCCAAUUCCUUCAAUUUCAUCCAUCUUCCUCCUUCCAAUUUCCUCCUUUCCCAAUGCCGUCGCCCUACUCCUCCUCCGCCACCGUCAUCUCCGCCGCAAGCCCUCCCUCUCCUCAACACCCUCUCGCCGGAAACCGCCGAUCAUCCCUCCUCCUCCACCACCACUCGUAGUUACGAUGACGAAUCUGCCGUUCUUGCUCUUGACAUCAGCCUCUCUUGCCCUAGCUCCGAUCUAGACUCCUUCUCGCCAGACCCCGGCACCGGGAAAAUAAUCGACGGCGACGUUUCCGACCACCCUUUGCCGAUCUCCGGUAAGGGUCAGUACUGGAUUCCGACCCCAUCGCAGAUCCUCAUCGGUCCUACUCAGUUCUCUUGCCCUCUUUGCUCUAAAGCCUUCAAUAGAUACAAUAAUCUUCAGGUAAAAGUUUUCAAUUCUUUUUUUGGUUUUAGUUUUAUUUAUUAUUUUUUUUCUUGGGGUUUUGAUUUAACGGUUCAAGAAAUGUUCUUUGUGUCUUCCUUUUUGUGUACUUCUUUUGCAAGAUUGAGUUAUUGCAUUGAGACUAUGAGUGAGUGUUUUUCUUUUUCUUUUCUUUUCUUUUGUGGGUUUUUGCUUUUUUGAUCAGUCUGAGAAAUUGAAGUGAUCUGCUGCAAAACAACUGUUUGACAUUUAUGAUUAUUUUUUUUGAGAACGGUGAAAUAGUGAAGUAAUUAUGGGGAGAAGGGGUUUUUUUUCUUUUUGGUGUUUAAAAAUAUUUCAAAAACUUCUCUAAAUGGUAGAAUUGAUUAAUAUUUUCUUUUCAUUCUUUUGGGAUUUAAAGGAUUUGAAUUGAGUUUUGUUAUAAAUAAUAUAUUAGAAUUGUGUUUUUUUGGUUGAUUUCAGCUCUCUUUGAUACGACUUCGUUGAAAUGUAUUCUUCCUUUCCCAUAAUUUUUUAGUGUUAAAAAUUUGAUAACUCAAAAAGUCCAAUCAACCCAACCUUUGGAUUUUCUAUUACCUAAAUAACUUUCUGAUGUUCAUGAGUUUGAUUGGUUUAUAACUUUAAUUUGCCUAAAAUUACUCAAAUUAACCCUAAAACUUAUUAUUAGUUUUCAAAUGUGUAUAUAUAUAUAUUUUUACUUAUUAGAAUAAUAUUAUAUAUUCAUAUAUUUAUUUGAAUGUUGUACUUUUUGUUUGAUGACUUAUUCCCAGCAACUCCUAAAAAUAUUGUUUUUAGCAAUUUAGAAAUAAAAAUUUCAUAAGAUAAAAAGAGAAAAUAGAUUCCAAGAGUUAUUUCAAAUCUUAGUCAACACCUUUAAAAACAAAUAAACAAAAAAGUUUCUUUCUUUUUUCUGGGUUGGGAAAUCUAGGUGAGAUUUUCAAAGGAACUGUUAGUAAAACAAUAUUUGCUUCUUAAAAACUAAAAUGGGAUUAAUUUCUGAAAGCAGAAAGAUAUAUAUAUAUAUAUACAUAUUCACGUUUUCUUUACUAAAAAUGUUCCUCGUUUUUCAUAUCACAGCAUAGGAAAAAUUGCUUUUUCUACUGUUAUUAUUUCAUUCUCCUCUCAUAAUUUUCAUACAUUAUAUCAGAACAAUAGUUAAAAAAUGUAAUAAUAAACAUUCUUCCAUUUUAUUUGGAAGUGUUCUCUUUAGAAAAUAACAGUGAAGGACAAAACAAUAACAUGUUUUAUUAUGAUAUAUACUUUUAAUAAUGUUAUGGAAUGACUAUUUUAUAUGAUUACAUUUUAAGAUAUCUAAUUAAUGAAGAGUCGGGACUGUAUAUAUAAUGAAAAUGAAUUGACAAAAUUAGUUAUAGGGAUAUGUAGAGACGAAAAUGAAAACAAAACCCACCAGUUCAGGAAGUGGCGACGUUUUUCUUUUCUUCUUUUAGAAUAUUAUCUUUUCGGUUCAAAAGUUCUUACGAAGCAUAUGUGCAUUUAGUCUUAAUUUUUUUAGAAUAGAUGUAUUUGUCUCUGAGAUUCAAUAUGUAUAUACUUUUAGUUGUUGAACUUUUUUUUUUUAAUAGAUUUCUUAGACCCUUGAAGUGUUUUUUUUCUAAAAAUAAAAUAACAAAAUAUGCUGUUAAAAGUUAAUAUAUAAGUUAAUUUUAGAGUUAAAGAGAUAGUUCUUUUAGAAAGUAUUUUUUCCAAUUUAAACCAAUAAAACACCUAUCUUAAAAUCGUAGUGGCUAAAAGACGACGUUUUGAGAUGUUCAAACAUGGCGAGAAUGUUGAGAACAAGUUAAUGUAGUUGAUGGAUAUUAAGAUAUACCUAUCUAACCCUCUCAUUCUAAGAAAAACGACAUUUUGUUAUCAUAGUAAUACCGAACACAAGUCCAUAUUUUUCAAAAUUCGAGAACUUUGUUUCAUGAGUUGAUGCUUUUAAGUUAACUAAAUAUGAUUGUUUGACAUGCAGAUGCAUAUGUGGGGACACGGUUCACAAUACAGAAAAGGACCAGAAUCACUCAAAGGCACACAACCAACCGCAAUGCUAAGGCUACCAUGCUACUGUUGCGCAGUUGGUUGCAAACACAACAUAGACAACCCUCGUUCACGCCCACUCAAAGAUUUCCGAACCCUCCAGACACAUUACAAGCGCAAGCACGGCAUCAAGCCUUUCACUUGUAGAAAAUGCACCAAAGCCUUUGCUGUUAAGGGCGAUUGGCGAACCCACGAGAAGAAUUGUGGCAAGAUUUGGUAUUGCUUUUGUGGCUCUGAUUUUAAACAUAAACGCUCCCUUAAAGACCACAUCAAAGCCUUUGGUCGCGGCCAUGGUGCCCUUGGCCUUGAUUACUUUGACGAUGAUAAUGAACCCUCUCCUGAACUCGAUGAAGAUCAUCUCUUUGUUCGCCUUCGUUAAUCACGUCUUCUCUCUCUUUUUGUUGUGUGGUUAAAUAAUAUAUAUGAUGUUUGUUGUUGUAAUUUGUGUUGUGUAUAUGAGGAGGAAGUUGAGAUGGGGGACUGUGAUACAAAGGUGCAAAUUGAAAUAUUGAUUUAGUUGUAAAAUUUUUGAUAUGAUGUCGAUUUUUAUGGCAAUUUAUAAUAUAUGAAUGAACGGAUUAUGACCCUUGAUGUUUGAUCAUAAAUAUGGAAACUCGGUUUCCAUGUAGAUAUUUAAUAUUUUUUUUAUAAGAAAAACGUAGAGUUGUGUGAUUUUGUGUGUUAAUAAAAAUUGUUUAUUAUAGCUCGUUAUCUUUGUGUAUACUACAUCCAAUCAUUUAAUUAUAGUUUGUCACACGAUAAACUUUUAUUGUUUUUUUUGUGUGUUUAUGUAGGAUUAGAGUCGUUGGAAUUAAAUACUCUACCACCUUUAAACAUUGUUCUUUAUUUAUUGUUCGAAUAAACUCGUUGUACUUCCUUUCAAAAGUGUGAAUUCAUAGUAAUAUUGACCUAUAAUAAAUUUAGAUUGGUCCAACCAUUCACUUGUGACCGAUUCAUGAUGUAUUUACUUUUGUGACUUUUUCCUAACCUUUGUCUAUUUCACAAUGUUCAAACUAACUUAUUGCAUGAAAUACCACACAAAGGUCAAUUAGAAAAACAAAAUUAGAAUAAACCAAUUGUGGUUAAGCACCUAUUCAUGUAUGUAGUUAAGGUGGUGUUUGAGGCAAUAAGUAUUUAAGACGUAGUAAUCAUCAUUUACUACAAUAAAUACUAUUUAAAAAUUUUCAAUUACUUACGUUUAACACUAUUUUGAAAUUAAUUUUUUUUAUAUCUUUUGCUAUUUGGUGCAUUUUUUUACUAUUUUAAUUCUAUCAAUUUUUAUUAUUUGGUACAUAAUUUAUUUUUUUCUCAAACUAAAGCAGUUUAUACCUUCGACGCAUAUUAUUAUUAACCAAACUAAAAUAGUUUAUACCUUCAACGCAUAUUAUUAUUAACCAAACUAAAAUAAUAUACGUGAUCGAGUAGUAAGAUAUAAGCCCUAGGGGCAAUAUUGGGAUAUUCUAAAAACAAUAGGGUUAUUAUAGUAAAUUUGUUCCUCGUUCCAGAAUGGGCCGAGGAAAGUUCGUGGGCUUUAUUUAGCCUCUCGUUAUCGGCUCUACUCGAUCUCUAACUCAUCCCUAACCUUGGAAUCUCAUUGUUCUCUGUGAAACGAAAUUGAAUGAGUGCUUCCAUGGCGUUAGCGCCAAGCUUAAAUCACAGCCCCAGGUUUCCACCAUGGAACGGAUCAAAGAUCGUGGCCUGCUCAAACUCAAUCAACCCUCCGAUAAAUUCCACCAGUUUCCAAUCAUCCUCCGUCGCGAAACGCUGCUUACGGUGCCAUACCGUUUACUCGGAUGUCGAUAAUUCUCCUUCCGCUUGCGUCUUCCAUGGCCACAUCACUGGUUCGUAACGUACACUCGAAAUUUUAAAAUUAGGUCUUAGAUGUUUUUCCGAAGAGUGGGGAUUCGUCUUCACAGUUUUUAUAUUCUUUUGAGAAAAGCUUAUAUUGAGGUUGAAAUAGUACGUGAAUCUGGUUUUAUUAAUAGGGGAGAGGGGGUUGUUUGCUUUGUCGCCCCCGCACCAGGGGAUUGACGGUGAAUGGAGUGACGGCUCCGGUGUGAUCGUUUAUAAAUGGAAUGAUAAAUCAAAUCGUCCUAACUCCGGAACUGGCAACUGGAAGAGACGGUGGAGUUGUUGCUCCGAGUACGAUGAACGUGCACCUCCUUGCCGUCGGGGAUGGCACGUUUCUUACGACGAUGGGUUCACUUUGUAUUAAUAGAAUAGAGUGUCGUCUCUGCCAAUAAUUAAUGGCAUUUGUAUAAACCGUAAGAUUGAUGGCAUUCGUAAAUUGCUUGAAUGUUAUAAGAAGUGUAUUGUAAAGUGUAAAUUGCUGGGAUGUUAUGAAAAUUAUAUUACAAACAGAUUUCAAAUACACGCUCCAAACAUUGAAUCUCAAUCAUGUUACAUUACAAAAAUAAUCUCAAUACAGGCAUCAAACCUAAAUUAGGCAUGUAAGGUUGAUCAACCUUGCAUGAAGUAAAGAUGUGAACAUCUAAGCUAAUGUUGUGAAGUUUUAAUCAAAUUUGAGUAACGUUCAAAUUCGCAACUAACAAAUUAAACAUUAGCAUAUAUUUAAUUAAAACUUGCUAAAUUUACACAAGUCAUCUUCCAAAAACAUUAGAUUGUAUGAACAAAAUUCUCAUAAAACAGAGACGAGAGAGAUGAGUGUGAAUGGUGAAAAAAAGCAUCCGAUUCUCAUCAUUCAAGAAUAAGCAUAUAUAUAUAUGUGUGUGCAUAACAACAAAUUCAUACACUCUCCGAUCAAAUCUCCGGUGACGCCACAAAAGCUGCCUAAUACGAUCCCACCGUCUUGAACGAAUCAUGAACAUGCCGGAGCAUAUCCUGGUCCCGAUUCCACUCCGGCGUCGGCGCAUUCACAAAAUGAGCAUACAGCUUGUUCUUUGCACAAGUCACCGAGAUCAAACUAUGAGUUCCGGCGCCGUCGAUCUCGUACACAUAAUAAACCUGUCCAUUCUCAUCCUUCUUCUCUUCCGCCAAGAAGCUCUCGGCGCUCGCGAUUUGAUCCUGCAAAUUCACGUCCGAUAGAGCCAGGUUAUUCAGAAUCACAUCCUUCGGCCCUAAUUGCCGGAUUCCAGCCAGGAAAGUUAGGUAUUCUUUCUCUGAUCGUUUCUUCGGAUUGUAAAAUUCACUAUCGGUUCCGUUGGUACCUGCGGAAAUUAGUAGGUAGAAUUAAUUUUCGGAACGAAUUGAGCUAUUAGAUAUCUUUAAUUUAGGGAUUUUGGAGUACCUUUUUCGACUUUGGAUACUAAUCGCUCUUUCCAUCCUUCCGGCACGUCGUAGAUGUAUUCUGCUGUGUCUUUCUUGUUGGCGUUGCCACCAAGGCCACCGUAGUUGGCGGCGCUGGCGGCAGUGCCAUAGUAGACAUUGAAAGCGGCCCCGGUAUCGGCGAGGGAGGGUGUAGCGGUGCUAAGGAUCGCGGCUACGGCGAUGGCAGUGGCUGCGAUGGAGAUUGGGGCAGUUGAUGAAAGUGGAGGUUUGGAUUGGAGAAUGGGAAUUUGGGGCUUUGGUAACGAUGAAGCUUGCGGUGGUUUUGGGGCGGUUGUGCCGGUGGAGGUUAAGAACGCCAAUGGCGCGAUUGCUGUGGCCAUAGUGAUUGAUUUUCGUGGAUUUGGGCUUCUGGUGUAUCUCCUCGAACAGGAUUUUCUCCUUAUCCAUUCUUUUUCUAUUUUCCUUUAUUUUUCUAAAUCGUUUUUUUUAUUUUUUGAAUUUAUGUACUUUUUUUUCUAUUUUUGUAGAAUCCCAUUUAACUUUAUAACUAACCCCUAAUUUAUGUCUUUACUCUCUUCUAUGGCUUGCUCACGUUGAUGAUAUCACAUCACGACGAAUUAAGUUUUUCUUUUUCUUCAUGGUUAUUAAAUUUUGUUUUUACAUUCACCAAAUUGAAUUUAAAAUCCAUUUAAUAUAACAUUAAUUAACUAUUUGUUAAAUUUAGAUAAAUACAAGCAAAAGUCAAAAGCUUGAUGAAACAACUAAUUAAUAUACGAGCAUAUGUGGAUUGAGUAGUAGGUGUGGAUGAGAGAUUGUUAAAAGAGAAUUGUGAGGAAGUAGUAUAGUGGCGGAAGCUAACCACCUACUUUUCUUCCAUCUGCGAGCCCAUUAUCCAUGAUCCCGCAACUACUCUACACUUUGGGUAUUAUCCCACGAUCAUAACCUACUCAUGAGUAAUUAUCUACGUUUCGAGCAUAACUCAACUCUCACACUAACAAAGGUAAUCCCCAUUACGUGUCAAGGAGUUAAUGUCUCCAAUAAAAAAUAAAAGAAAAAUAAUUAAAUGUAGCUUGGACAUCACAUACAUCUCACAUAUUAUCUAAUUUACGUAUUAUCUGGAGUUGGAGAGUAGAAAGGUGAUCCUAAUUUAGAGAGAUUGUUUUUUAAAAAGAAAAAUAGAGUAGAGAAGUGGAGGUUGAAAACUCCGCCAUGUAUAUUUACGUAUUAACUCUUCUAACAAAAAAGAAAUGUAACGGUCACUAUUCUUACCUAAACGGACAAAGAAACCCAACCAAUUAGAUAUUUUAAAGCCAUCAAAUAAAAAAUAAGCUUAUUACAAAAAUGCCCUCGAAUUCACCAUGCAAUCUCCCUUUUCCGGGCAGGGGUAUUUCGGGAAUUAUCCCUAAAAUGAAUGGCCAAUGGUUAUAUUGCAUACUGACCGCCAAAAAAGCCCUAGGUACAGCCGUACAGGCGCGAGCCAUAGCUUUUUCUUUUUCCCUUCUCCGAUUGAAUUAUGCACUCCCUUCAUUUCCUUCAUUUCUCUUCCUCUUUUCAUUUCCCUCCACUACCUAUAUCUUUUUCAAAUCUUCUCUCACUUCUUUAAUCAAUCAAAAUUUUUCAUUUCUUUUUCUUUCCUUUUUAUUUCAUUUCAAUCCGUUUCUCUUCUUUCGAUCGCCAUGUCUAAAAGGUCAGUUUCUCGCUUUGACUAUGCUUCUUUAUACGUUCUUGUUGAUAUUGUCUCUUGUUUUUCAUGAGUUUUGAUGAUUGGAUUAUGGGUUCCGAUAAUCGCUUCUUGAUAUUGUUUUUUUCAUCAUGGUUCUUUGGUAUCUUGGUUUUGUUUAUUAGGUUUUGGGCUAUUUCGACGGGAUGGGUUCUUUAACGUUUGGAAUUUACGUUUCAUGAAAAGUCCUUUUGUGGGGUUGUUAUUGAUGCGUUUAUUUGAACUUUGACUUGUUGUUCGUACGGGUGUUAAUUUACUUUGCUGGUUUGUUUAGGGUCUUAUGCAAGUAUUUUGCGCAUGGAGCUUGUUUAAAAGGGGAAUAUUGUGAGUUUUCUCAUGACUGGACGGCUCCACCAAGCAAUGUAAAUAUUACUUUCUCUCCUCUGUGUUGCCAUAUACUAUAAUGGUGUUCAGACUAUUGUUUCUUUCUGAUGCAUCGUCCAUAACAGGUUUGUACUUAUUAUCAAAAGGGAAGGUGUGCUUUUGGCAGUCGAUGCAGAUAUGAUCAUGUUAAAGUUUCUCACGCCGAAUCAUGUUCGAAUGUUCAGCAAUCUCAUGGGUCUGAAUCUGUUUCUGUAGCUCAUUCUCAAUUGUCAAGGCCACUUUCUCCCUUUUCUGGAUCUACAAGCGAGCUUGCUAGUUCAGAGAUACCCAGUCUUCCCUUGCGCGAAGAAGCUGCUUGGAGUGGAGAGUUUGUGCGUCCAGACGGUCUUGAUGAUUGGGUGAAUGGGGAGGCAAGGGUUGUUGGUCCAGCUGAUAUACCUAUUUGUUCUUUUGCUGCGGCUGGUGGUGACUGUCCGCGUGGUGAAAAUUGUCCUCAUAUUCAUGGGGACUUAUGUCCUACAUGUGGAAAACAGUGUUUACAUCCUUUUAGGACGGAUGAAAGGGAGGAGCACUUGAAGGCAUGUGAGAAAAAGCAAAAACAUCUAGAGUCUUUGAAACAUAGUCAAGACAUAGAGUGCAGUGUUUGCCUGGAGCGUGUGCUUUCUAAAACCGAAACAGCAGAGAGGAAGUUUGGGAUUCUAUCAGAAUGUGAUCAUCCAUUUUGCAUUUCUUGUAUUAGAAACUGGCGCAAUAGUUCAUCUACCUCUGGAAUGGAUAUUAAUAGUGCCUUAAGAGCCUGCCCAAUUUGUAGAAAGUUGUCAUACUUUGUCAUUCCAAGUGUCAUUUGGUAUUCUUCAAAGGAAGAAAAGCAAGAGAUUGUUGAUAGCUACAAGUCAAGGCUGCGGUAAAUUUAUGUUCUUUUAUUUCUAAUUUGUGAAUGCAUUAUGGAAACUGUUCAAUUGCUUUCCAUUAUGUUCACGUUUUCUGCUUCCCUUUUGUUAUGUUUUGUUUUGUGUGCGUGUGUGUGUUUAUAUAUAUAUAGAUUUAUUUAUUUAUUUAUCAAACUCAAUUUAGUAAAUUGAAGUUAUUACAUAUCAAAUGUAAUUGUACGAACUAUUAUUUAGAGAAUGGAAACUGCAUAACUACUAAAGUAAACUGCAUAACUGCUAUUAUUUGAGAUGAUUUCGCUACUCUAAUCUGUGAGUUUUUAUCAUUUUCAUAUUCAGAUCAAUAGAUUGCAAGCACUUCAACUUUGGAAAUGGGAACUGUCCUUUUGGAUCCAGCUGCUUUUACAAGGUAAGUUUACCUCUGAAAGCAGUCACUUCAGUUUCCUUAUCCUAAUUGUACUCUUUCAAGCAUGAUGGAUGUUUUUGUACCGCCUUUUGUGUUGUGAGGACUUUCCUAUUUUCCUGAAUUUUUAUUGUUCUUCAUUUUCUUUUCAUUAUGCCCUUGUCCAAAUUGUUUUCUUUACCUUUUUUAUUGAUCAUUGAUAUGCAGCCUGCUGAAUGAAAAUCUCGACCUGUUUGGUUUUGCUAAUCUGCAUACGCCCUAGGAUAUCUGUUAAAUAGUACAUGCUUGCCUACUGGACAUGAGUUUACUAGAAGAAAUCCUUUUUGAGAUCUGAAUAUGGAUAUCUAGUAUAAUGGAAUAUUCUUUUAUCCUAAUUAUUUUCCGUUGGUUUCAUAAGCACCCCCAUCUGCCAUGGCUAUCCAAUCAUGGCUGGUUAGAUAAGGCUCAAUCAUACUCACAUGACUUUUUUUAAUUAAUUUAUUUAAAAAAUGAUAGUUCUGUUUGAGGGGUGGCUAAGAAUUUAAAAGCGCUUUUAAAAUGUGUGAGCUAAUUUUUUUACUUUACUUGAAUUUUUUAAUAACCAUCUUCUUCAUUUUUCUAUUUAAAUUUUAAGAAUGUUUAAAAAAUCUAAACCUACAUUUGAAACAGAAAAAAAUCCCCAAGAACUAUCAUUUUGUUUUUAAAUUUUGGUUGAGAAUCUUCAAGUGUUCUGAACCCCUAUUUGAAACCAUUUCAUUUUUUUUGUUUUUGUUUUUGUUUUUUUAAAUUAAGCUUGCACACACCGUUUUUAUCUAUGGGUUUUAUUAUGUAAUCUACUUUUUAUGAGUUUUAAAAACCAAGCUAUGUUUUGAAAACAAACUUGUUUUUGUAUUGAGAUUCAACCUUUCAUUGGUCUGAUUUGGAAGUCGCAUAUAUUUCUAGGAGAUAUGAAGACCACUAUGGAGAAAUGAUGUGAAAAGAAGCUAAUUUUUCAUUAACUAGAAACCAAAUGGUUAUCAAAUAGGGCCUAAAAAUAUAAAUUAGGAAACGAUCAGCAAUCUUGCUUAAUAUUUGCAAUUACUUUUGUCAUCCCUCUUCGAUAAUUUCUAUGGCUCAAUUCAGGUACAAAGUGAUGUGCUGACUACUUUGCCUGGUUGGCUCUGCCACCUCUAUGUAGUUGUAGUAGUGUAGUAAUUUAGUCUUAGUUAAAUUCCUAGUAAGAAAAAAUUAUAUAUUUUGGACACCGAGAUUGUGUUGCUAGACCUGCUACAAUUGAUUGAUGGGAUCCCUCUGAUUCAAAUUAAUAAUAAGUUAUAUUCCUACAGACUAACAGGUGUUUGAUUUGAAAGUGUUAUCAUGGGAAAAUAAAUGUAGUUUAGGACUGUAGCAAGGCUGGCGGGACCUCUCCUAAACUGCAAUCUGUUAAUCUAUAUAUAUACUUCAUUUGCCAGUCCUCUGCGCUCGUCUAUUUUAGAAAGAACAAAUGCAACUGCUGUGUCACAUCUUCUUCAUCUCAUAUGAGUGUUGCAAUCUCAACAACCCUUAUAUUUUUUGGUGACGUGUCAUAGGUGUCACAUAAGCAGUGCUGUUGCUGUUCAUUUUCAAUCAGUUUUUGUGGUAGAUGUUGAAAGAUGUGAUUCAUAGUGGAUUUUAUCUUCAGAUCUAUUCGCAUUCUGUUUGUCAUUUAAUUUCAUUAGAGCAGAUUGGCUUUCCAAUGAUACAAUGUUUGUUGUGUUCCAGCAUUUGGUCAUUCCUGGUUCAUACACAUGGAAAUAUCACAGGCCACCUCCACGCCAACCACAAUCAUGGAGAACUCCUCCAAGCAGAUCUAAUAUUGUCGAUAUGGAUGCCUUUUUUGAAAUGUUCGAAGACUUGGAGGAUUUGGAUUUUAGUGAUGAAGAUUUAGAUUUUGAAUAUUUAACACUUUUGGAGAUGGCACUAAUGCAGUUGGGUUGUGAAGCUAACUCGUCAAGUGAUGAAGAGUCAUAGUUCUUGGGCUACAGUUUUCUUCUUAGGUUGUUGUAACCUGAUUUAUGUUGGGUGUUUGGCGAGUUUCUUCUAGUCUUGCCAAAAAACUUUGAAUAUUUGCUUCUCUGGCAUUUUUGGCCACCUAGCAGUGCUUUUGUGCAGUAAGAUAAGCUUGUAGACUUUUUUAAUUAUCAUAAAUGCCAUGUUAAUGGGGACUCGUACUUUGCAAAAGGCAACAGUCAUUUGUCCUGGGGAAAAUUAGUUACCAAGUUAUCAAGAUGACGAUGGUCUAUUUAUGGAAGAACCUUUUCUUUGCGUAGAUUAUAAUAUGGCUUCUUAAGUGUUGUAUUUUACUACUGGGAAUUAGGAAUAUCUGCUACAGCUAUCUUCUUCGUUCCUAGAUUUUACGGAGAGUUCCAUUUCUAACCCUCUUGCUUACCAAAACCAAUUGUGUGCUCCUUAUGUUGAUCCUUAACAGAUUGGUUGUUUAUUAUCCCAGUAUGCUGGUAAUUUGAAGUGAAUGUUCGAUUAAUAUGUUCUAUUAUCUAUGAAGUAGUUUUUCCCAUAUGUGGACUUUUGCACACGAUGAUUGUUUUUUGAAUGAAGCCUUAUCUGUUUGCAACUGGGACGUGUGUUGCUUCUUUACUUUCAUUCUUGUAUGCAUUUUUUUUUGUGACUAGCUGUAUUAACUUCAAAAUGAGAGUCAAAUUUUCAAUGUGAUUUUCUCACUGCAGCAUGCACAUCGGGAUGGUCGGUUGGAAGAGAUAGCUCUGCGUCAUAUUGGGAAUGAAGAUGGUCUCACUGUUAUAGCUAAAAAUCUUAGGUCUUGAUUUGUGCAUUGCUUUAUAUUGACCAUUUAUUGUGCAUCUUUUACCUUAUAAAUUUGAAGCUAUUUUCAGGUUGUCGGACUUUCUCAGUGACUUGCAUAUCAGGUGAAGAAUCCUUCAUUCAGGUAUGGAACACACUAACCACUCAUCCUUUGACCCUGAGGUUGAAAGUUCAUACUUUAUGCCAACUUUUGCUAUCUAUUAAAUAUUUCGCAUUUUAAUAUGAUUAAUCAUUUGCCUUUAUGGAUGGGGUAAACUUCAAUAAUUAACCUUGAAAAUAUCAAUUGAAACUCAACAUUUAUAUUAGAAACAGAGCGAAUUAAUCUUCUGGCACUGUCGCUAUCACUAUAUUUCAACACUUCUCUGGCUCUAAAGAGUCCAUGAAACGCUAAACUCUUUGCAUUUUGUAUUUAUCUUGAGUUACAAUAUAUUUCACCUGUCAUUUAAAUAUCUUUUUUAUUGUUGGUCUUCGUUAACACUUGCAAUGUAAUCGAAGAGUUUGAAAAACCCAUUUCAGAUGUCGAAUUGCUUGGUCUGAAGGUCUGAUAUUGAGAAAUGGAAGGUGGGGGUAUCGAACACGGUGCUUCAAACUUUGUGUUCUACAAUAUCAAAAUAAAGCUAAAGACAUUUAUGUCAUAGUGAGAAAUGAAUGUUGGAAACCCAAGCUUGUUCUUCCAAUGAUAUGGUGAAAUAAAGAAUCAUAACAUUCACAUCUCACAUGUUGAAUUUCAGCUGAAUAAUAUGUAUGGGUUCUACAAGUUGUACUAAACAACUGGAAAGUCACAGAAUGUAUUUUGGUUUGGUAUUUUAAAAGAAAGAUAUGUGGGAAUGUCAAUGUUGUAUUUUGUUUUAUACAGAAACAAGUAGAAAAAAAAAAGUAGCAUCAGGAUUUGCCUUCGGAUGAGACUUAGUACUCAUCAAAUUUACAAUAAAAAAAACUGUGAUUUUUUUUCUUCUUUUUAUUGUCAUUUUCAUUAUCAUUCUCUCUUUCUGUUAGUGAUGAUUUGUUGUAUUAGUCAAAUAUUGUUUCCUUCUUUCUCACCUGAAUGAAUCAAAAUACUUGUACAAUUAAUAUAUGUUUCUAGAUGGUUAUUUUUUGCUAUAUUUGUCAACAUCUCCGUAAGUUUUGUCAUUUUUUGAAUAAUUUAUAAGUAUUAGUUUAGUCAUUUUAUCAUGUGAUUACAAAGUCUUAUUUAUCAUUAGCUUUACUCGCACAUCCGACUGUAGUUAUCACCUUUAAAUUUGUGAUGAGGUCGUUACAUAACGAGUUUUAUAUAAUUUGUAAGAAAUAUUUAAAAUAAAUUGAGAUUGCAACCACAUAUUUUUUUUUAUUUUUCAAAGAUGAAAAGAGUUUGUGAAAGCAAUUUGAGGUUACGGUCUUUCAUAAUUUAGUUCGAAUUUCAAAGAUGCUGUUGGCUUGUAAUAAUCUUUCAAAUAUAAAGUCUCGAUUACUUUUCUUUCUUGCCUUCAAAAUUCUUCGGAUAUUGUUAAUUAUAAAGUAUGCAUUCACACUUUAAUUUAUUCAUACUAUUUCAUUUCUAAUUUUGAGCAUUUCUUUGUCAUUUAAUUUUAUGCCAUUCAAUUUCGAUUUCUCAUUUUGAAAAUCUUAGCAAUGUUUUGGAGUAUACGUUACUUUUCUAAACAUGAGGCCAUUCUUUCUAAAAAAUUUAGGGUUGGCGAGUUAUAUAAACAAUUAAUGUUAUGUAGAUGUUUACUUUUAAUUAGAACCUAGAGCUAUAUAAUUAAUUAUUACUCGUUAACAAAAUAUCUUAUUAAUUAUGUGUAUGUAUUUUCCUUGGAAAAUUAAUAAGAGAAGGGAUUGAUAAAAAAUAAAAUAAAAAUAAAAAUACAAGUUGUUGUUUCAUUGUUUUGAGUAAAUAUGCAAAAUAAUUUUAAAUGACUUUAACUAACUAAUUAAUCAAAAUACAUUCAAAUAUCAGUUUUAUAUAUUCUUAUUAUAUUUUGGAUUUUGUUUAUGCAAUUUCAUUAUCUAAUAUAUGUUUAAAUGUAUUCUCAUGCAUAAAAAUUUAAAAAGAUAAAUAAAAAAGUUGGAAGGAAAAUUAAGUAAAAAUCUUCAUAGUUGAAUUAUUUAUUUUAAACAUUAUGAAGGAAUUUCAAUCAAUUUAUUUUGUGUAUAACUUAUUUUAUUUGGUCGUACGAAAAAGAAAAAGAAAAUUAAAUAGUUAACAAUUUAGUAGUAUUAUUUAAGAAAAUGAUGUUUUUUAACCUACUUUUAUUUAAACACUCUCGAUAAAAUAAAAGUUUGCUUCAUUUGUUAUUUUUGACAACUCACCUUUUUAUUAUAUAGGAAGUCUUUUUAAUUAAUUUCAAAUUACUAUAAAUCAAGAAUUUAUUGGUGGAGGUGAUGGCCGGAGUUGGUCAACAGUCAUUUAGAAAUGUAAUUAAAGGUCGGUUGAUGGAUCCUUAGAAAUGACAACUAUAGUCUAAGGUUGGCCACCGAAGAUCAUCAAAUACAUUGUUAGAGAUUGGUAGAAGUUAGAAGGCAACGCUAGAAAAUUGGAGAGAAAUUAAGCUUUAAAACAUUCAAAAUAAUUCAUUUGUCCAUAAACCAACUUAUUUUGUAAGCUCAUUCUCUAUUUCAUGUUUAGGUGGUUGUCAUUCUUUUUCGAAACAACUUACCCUUUUAGUUAAAAAAUAUUUACACGUACAACAAAUAAUCUAAAAUUCUAUAUAUAUAUAUAUAUAUUUCCUAAAAAAAUAAAAUAAUUAAGUUUGUAACAAAAUUACGUCAACAUUAGAUUAGGGUAUAUGAUUUUCGUGCUCUCCUAUUAAAGAUGCAAAUCAUUAAUUUAAAGGCAAACAAAUUUGUCGUAUUAAUUAAAUAUAUUUGUUCUUAUACAAAUACACUUUUUUGAACAAUAAUUCAACCUUUACCUCUCAAUCCAAUUCAUUCCAUAAAAACAAAAACAAAAACUCUAAAUCCAAAUUCCUAAUUUGAAAAUUUGACCAAUUAACCUUAAUUGGAAAAAAUGGGGAGGAAUAAUCCUAAAAAUAACCAUCUUUCACAAUUACUGUUCAUAUUAAUUACAACGUUUCUUUGUACCAUUUUUUUGCCAAUUGGUUAAAACAUCGUUUUUUUUUUAAUUUAUUGGUUCAAUUUCAUUUCCGAUGGGUUCAAUAGAUCUUGAUAGUUUAAUGUUCAUUUAAAUUUUUUCAUCUAAAACAUGUUCAUCCAUUGUAUGACAUAAUUAAACCUAUUAUUGUUAUUGUUGUUGUUAUUUAUUUAAUCAAUUAAUGAAAAGGAAGAAACUAAAUUUAAAUGAUUAAUGACAUUAUAAUAUGUGUAAUCACUGACUUUGAAGUCCCAAAUUGAAACAGAAAGAAGAAGACACAACACCCUAUUUUUAUUGAAUAAAUCACACUAAAUUAAAAAAUAAUAAUCAUACAGCAAAAACAGAUCACUAACAACAAUGAAUCAUACAGUAAAGAGAUUCUAGAGAAUCUCCAUUUUAUUUUCCGAUCAAACUAACCUCUAAAUAUAAAAAUGAUAAUUAAUUAAUUAAUUAAUGUAUAUGAAUUAACAAUCCACAUUCGAUUUAAUUUAGAGCUUUAAGAGUGCAGGAAGAGAGAAGAAGAAGGAAGCAAAGAGCAGAGCCAUGGAGGUCGCAACAGGCAGGGACGACGCUGCUCCUCGGUCGAGCCCUGGCGCCGGCGCUGGAGCUUCCUGAGCGGAAACGAGGGCGGAGAAGAGAGCAACGAGGGCGAGGAAGACGACGGGGGAGAUCUUGGAAAUGGCCAUUGAAAUGAGGAAAGAAGAGAAGAGUAGAGGAGAAAGAAGAAUUGUGCGGGGGAAUAAUUAUGAUUUUUACUAUGUGAGGGGAGAGGUUAUUUAUAGUGAGGGGCAGGAUGGCGCGUGGAACCCACUGGGAUUAAGCGUCCAAUGAGGUGACGAAAAGUCGCGUGAGAAUUGUGGUCACGUGGAGGGUACGUGGAAUAUAAAAAUUGUAGACAAAUAAUAAAAUUCUUUACGUUUCGUACUACUAAUUGAUUAAUUAAUUCAAAUCCAUACCUAAGUCAGUAAUAGUAAUUAACUGUCUUAGUGACCAUCGUUUGUAUUUACGUGGAGGUUUAGGUUGAGUUGGUUCAAGAGAAUACUCAUUUUUAUAAUACAAUUUUCGUACAUAGGAUACACCUAUUUACCUACGUACUUUUAGAAAAAAAAAGACUAUUAAAACAGUAUGAUUCUAGAAAUUUUAAAUUUUUACUAAAGACACUUUGCCAAACAUUGUUUUUGUUUUCUUUAAAUAUGAUUCGGUUGAUUGAGUUGGUCAUAUGAGGGGAUUGUAGAAGUUGGCUAUCAAAGGUUGUUACCAUGAAUUUGAUUAUAAGAGGUGGUUAUUUGUCCAAAAUGGUCAUUUGAGAUGAGUGUCGGUGUUGGCUAUUACAAGUGGUUGUCUCACCAUAUAGUUAAUCAUUAAAGGUGGUUUUCGCCAAAGUUGUUGGAACUCGAAAGUGGUCGUUGGAGUGUACCAAUAUAAUCGUAUUAAGGAAUGGAAGGUCUACAAAUAAAAUGAGUGAAAACAUUAAAGAGUAACGGUUGAAUCGGUUAAAGUAAGAAAUUUCACUGUAGCAAAGUUUGAAGUGGAUGGAAAAAACCAUAAAAGUAGGUUUGUGUGUAGAAGGAGAAAACAACAAAAGAGGGAGAGAAGUUUGAAUUGAGGAAGAAAAGAAAGAAAACGCGGCGUUAGUUCAAAGGCAAUGCGCGGAGGGCAAAGUUGAGAUUUUAAAUUGGGUGGGGGAUGGGAGCUUUGAAGUUUGUUCAACCAAAACAGACGAAACGGCCAAGUGUGCUUUCCCCCCUCUUUUCUUCACUUCGAAUUCAUCUUUCUUUUUUCCUUUUAGUAGGUUUGUGUGUAUGUCUGACCUUCUUUCUUCUACUUUCCUCCAAAACGUAACCCCUUUUCACAUCUGACUUGGGACAAAUAUACAAUUCCUUUCCCUCUUCCACAAUUUUCAAUCUGUCUAAUUAAUUUAUUUUUAUUUUCUGAGUUUCAAAACGUUAUAUUUUUAGUUUUGUUUAAAUUUGACUGCCAAGUGCGUCAGUGAGUCAUGGGGAAUAGUAAAGGGUCUUUUCCACCCACCACAUUCUUCUACUCCUUUGGUUUGCUCAACUUUUAAUUGGUGGUGUCUUCCUUGUGAAAGUUACUUCAAACCCAGCUUGGAUUUCUGAAGCUUUUAAUGUAAAAACAAAGUGUUUAAAAAUAUAAUUUUCAUAUCUUAAUUGUUUUGCUCUCAAAACCACCACUGUGAGAUCAAUUUCAGUCCUAAAUCAUUCUAAUUCAGUUGCUCUCCAGAGUUAAUACAUCCUCCAUUUAUAGGGUACUCAUAAAAAACAUAGAUAAAUGACUAAGAUAAAAUUGAAAAAAAGAUUAAUGUGUUCUCUUUUAAAGCCAACAUGACUGGAAAGCUUUUAAGAAAAAAUAAAUGAAUGAAAACUUUUUAUAUUAAUUUAAUAAUUAAUUCAAACAUGCUAUAACUAUUUUUUUUUUUACAUUAUGAUUGAUGCAACAUUGGUCUUUUCAGAUCAAUAACAAUAAUGUUACAUAAACUAACCUUAUACUAAUUACAUUUACUAUUUUCAUCUGACUUGUUGUGUCAACAUUAAACCAUUACUUAUAAAUUUAGGACAUAAUUUCCAAUCUUGUUUAAUCCAAUUCCUAAUCUUUAACACUUCAAUUCAUAUGUAAUAAAUAUUUUAAAUUUUGUUACUUUUUCUUUUGGUAAAGAUAUUGUAUUUAAAGCCUAAGAAAGAAAAAAUGAACAUGUAACGUUAAAAGUUGACAUAGGAGAAGCAAUUAAAGUACACUGAAAUUUCAUUUAAAGUUGCAUUCAAAUCUAAAGGGGAAGAAAAAAGAAUCCAAGUUGUUAAUUAUUUGGUAAAAUUUUGAAUCUGCAACCCCACCAUCCACAUAUCAUCAAACGGCCCACGUAAGACUCGCUCAAACCAAUUACUUAAUUCAUUUUAACCCAAAAUUAGCAUCUUAAUCUCACCUAUAAAUAAUCUCAAUUACCAUUCAUUAUUCCUCAGGCAGCAAUCCAUCAAUCAAUCAAUCAAUCAAUCAAUCAAAGGCUUCUUCGGUUCGAUCGCUCUCAUCUCCACCGGAAGUGAGUUUUCUGCCGAAGAAAGCCAAUUCGCUCAACCCCAUCCCAUCAUCCUCAAUGGAAAUGAAGAAGAUCGCCUGCGCUGCUCUUUUCGCCGCCGCUGCCAUCAGCGCUGCCGUGGCUGCCGAUGAGUCUCUCUCUCCCGGCGCUUCUCCCGCCGCUGCCCCGGGGCCGAGCAGUGCCGCCUCCGCCGCUCUCCCCGUUCUCGGUGCCUCAGUUGUUUCCUUUGUUGCUGCUUACUUCUUGAACUGAAGCCCCGUCAUGGAGAGGGAGAUCAAUUAUUUCAAAUUUUAUGUUUUUUUCUUUCUUUUUUCUUUCUUUAAUGUGUUUAUUUUCCAUGGAUGAUGUGAUGUGACGAAUUGAAAACAAUAAUAAUAAAAAGGGAAUCCGGAUUCUUUAUAUUGUUUAUUUUCCAAAUUAUGUUAUUCUCAAUCUAUAUUUAUUGUUGUUGCUUUAUAAACAACUUUGAUGAGAAAAUGUUAAUAGUUGGAUUAUAAAGUUUAUAGUAAAUUAAUCUCUAUACAUUAUACUUGAACCACAAUUACCCUUAACUAGUCUACACAUCAUAGCUAAGUUGCAUCAUAAUGGGUGAUUUUUGUUGCUUUUGAUUCAUGAUUAUAGUCAUGAGAUAAAGAUAUACUUAAUUAGGAGAAUAAGAAG
This 35286-nucleotide long non-coding RNA is filed under the name Cucumis sativus (cucumber). RNAcentral describes it as "long non-coding RNA (CSAT_LNC002900)". The record is from RNAcentral. Lineage: Eukaryota; Viridiplantae; Streptophyta; Magnoliopsida; Cucurbitales; Cucurbitaceae.